Molecule: ribosomal RNA, 361 nt
Filed under: uncultured bacterium
Lineage: Bacteria
Description: bacterial SSU rRNA
Rfam family: Bacterial small subunit ribosomal RNA
Source: RNAcentral
GAUAAACGCUGGCGGCGCACAUAAGACAUGCAAGUCGAACGGAAGUCGUUGUAAUGAUUUUGACAUGGACAGAGAACUUGUUCGAAGAAAGUGAAGAUUGACUUACAACAAUGGCUUUAGUGGCGGACUGGUGAGUAACGCGUGAGCAACCUGCCUGUUAGAGGGGGAAUAACAGUGAGAAAUCAUUGCUAAUACCGCAUAUGCCAUAGUCAUCACAUGAUGAUAGUGGGAAAGGAGAAAUCCGCUAACAGAUGGGCUCGCGUCUGAUUAGAUAGUUGGUGGGGUAACGGCCUACCAAGUCGACGAUCAGUAGCCGGACUGAGAGGUUGAACGGCCACAUUGGGACUGAGAUACGGCCCAG